AUGGCGCGCGGUCCUGGCUGGUUGGACGGAGACGCGAAGUUAAAUUAAACUUCAAAUUCUUGCUUGGAAAGUACGGAAGGAGAGCCGAGGAUGUAUUUCCUUGGUGGAUCUGCUGAGUUGAAUCUGCAGAGGAAGACCCGGAGAUCCAGGUUUAGAGAUGGAUGAAAUCACACUGAAAUGGACACAGUGGUCACCUGAGGCUCCUCAGCUCUGAGGGAGCAGUUUGAUUCCCCUGAUUAGUCCUGGAGUCCUGCUGCGAGUGAAGUCUACAGCCAUGAGCUGAUGGCAUCCACACUAGGGGGGGAUGGGAUGGAGCCUGCUCUUCUAGGUAAGUGUUGGAUCUAAAAGCAUCUGUUUUGUGU
Seriola dumerili (greater amberjack) is the source of this 362-nucleotide long non-coding RNA. RefSeq lists it as uncharacterized. The transcript has 4 exons. NCBI's taxonomy places the organism in Eukaryota, Metazoa, Chordata, Actinopteri, Carangiformes, Carangidae. The record is from RefSeq and is a predicted model, not a curated record.